UACGUAGGCAGCGAGCGUUGUUCGGAAUUACUGGGCGUAAAGAGUGUGUAGGCGGCGCUCUAAGUUCGGUGUGAAAUCUCUCGGCUUAACUGGGAGGGUGCGCCGGAAACUGGAGUGCUCGAACGUGGGAGAGGAAAGCGGAAUUCCUGGUGUAGCGGUGAAAUGCGUAGAUAUCAUGAGGAAUACCAGAGGCGAAGGCGGCUACCUGGACAAUUGCUGACGCUCAGGCACGAAAGCGUGGGGAGCAAAAGGG
Molecule: ribosomal RNA, 253 nt
Filed under: uncultured bacterium
Lineage: Bacteria
Description: partial 16S ribosomal RNA
Rfam family: Bacterial small subunit ribosomal RNA
Source: RNAcentral